GGGGUUGUAGCUCAGCGGUAGAGCACUCAUCUAGCCCAUGCGAGGCCCUGGGUUCGAUCCUCAGCACCACA
Molecule: transfer RNA, 71 nt
Filed under: Marmota monax (woodchuck)
Lineage: Eukaryota; Metazoa; Chordata; Mammalia; Rodentia; Sciuridae
Description: tRNA.Ala
Rfam family: tRNA
About the family: Transfer RNA (tRNA) molecules are approximately 80 nucleotides in length. Their secondary structure includes four short double-helical elements and three loops (D, anti-codon, and T loops).
Source: RNAcentral